Molecule: transfer RNA, 91 nt
Filed under: Kiritimatiellaceae bacterium
Lineage: Bacteria; Pseudomonadati; Kiritimatiellota; Kiritimatiellia; Kiritimatiellales; Kiritimatiellaceae
Also listed under: 1 other name
Description: tRNA-Ser
Rfam family: tRNA
About the family: Transfer RNA (tRNA) molecules are approximately 80 nucleotides in length. Their secondary structure includes four short double-helical elements and three loops (D, anti-codon, and T loops).
Source: RNAcentral
GGAGGAGUGGCUGAGUGGUUGAAGGCGCGCGACUCGAAAUCGUGUGUACCCUUUAAAGGUACCGGGGGUUCAAAUCCCUCCUCCUCCGCCA